UGAUUUGGUCUCUGCUCUACUAGUGUCCAUCUUCCCAGAGCUUAUCUUCACUAAAGCUGGAAAGAUCUUAUACUGUGAGAAAGCGAUUCAAACAGCAGAUGAGUUGUCAAAAAUAAUGGCAUUCUUUUAUUACGGAGCAGCCAAACUGCCUAGCUUGAAUACCGUUAGAAAGAGUGAAGAACCAAUCCCUACCAUUUGAAUCAACAGCGAAUAGUGUCAGAAUAAAAGUGUACAUAACUAUAUAUAUGUAUGCUAUGGUUUGGAGAAUGAGUUUCUGGGUUAGCGAUGCUGUGUUUACCAUGUUGUUCCCCAUACAGAUCAAUGGACACCAUGAAAAUUUAGCUCAUAUGUACAUUCUAGGGGAGAUUUAUAACUACAUUUAGCAAUUGUUUGUUAAUUUCAGUGUGAAAACUGAAAAUUUUGUUAUUUAUGAACAAGAUGAAUAUGGAGUUUCUUUUUUU
Molecule: non-coding RNA, 461 nt
Organism: Camellia sinensis
Lineage: Eukaryota; Viridiplantae; Streptophyta; Magnoliopsida; Ericales; Theaceae
Source: RefSeq, a predicted model, not a curated record